RNAcentral lists this ribosomal RNA (629 nucleotides) under uncultured Lachnospiraceae bacterium. Its description in RNAcentral is "bacterial SSU rRNA". It matches the Rfam family "Bacterial small subunit ribosomal RNA", at positions 89 to 736 of the family's 1533-position model. The record is from RNAcentral. Lineage: Bacteria; Bacillati; Bacillota; Clostridia; Lachnospirales; Lachnospiraceae.
GACUUAGUGGCGGACGGGUGAGUAACGCGUGGGUAACCCGCCCUGUACUGGGGGACAACAGUUGGAAACGACUGCUAAUACCGCAUAAGCGCACAGCAUCGCAUGAUGCAGUGUGAAAAACUCCGGUGGUACAGGAUGGACCCGCGUCUGAUUAGCUAGUUGGUGAGAUAACAGCCCACCAAGGCGACGAUCAGUAGCCGACCUGAGAGGGUGACCGGCCACAUUGGGACUGAGACACGGCCCAGACUCCUACGGGAGGCAGCAGUGGGGAAUAUUGCACAAUGGGGGAAACCCUGAUGCAGCGACGCCGCGUGAAGGAAGAAGUAUCUCGGUAUGUAAACUUCUAUCAGCAGGGAAGAUAGUGACGGUACCUGACUAAGAAGCCCCGGCUAACUACGUGCCAGCAGCCGCGGUAAUACGUAGGGGGCAAGCGUUAUCCGGAUUUACUGGGCGUAAAGGGAGCGUAGGCGGUCUGACAAGUCAGAAGUGAAAGCCCGGGGCUCAACUCCGGGACUGCUUUUGAAACUGCCGGACUAGAUUGCAGGAGAGGUAAGUGGAAUUCCUAGUGUAGCGGUGAAAUGCGUAGAUAUUAGGAGGAACACCAGUGGCGAAGGCGGCUUACUGGACUG